ACGCUCGACACCUACGGGAGGCCGCAGUGGGGAAUAUUGCACAAUGGGGGAAACCCUGAUGCAGCGACGCCGCGUGAGCGAAGAAGUAUUUCGGUAUGUAAAGCUCUAUCAGCAGGGAAGAAAAUGACGGUACCUGACUAAGAAGCCCCGGCUAACUACGUGUCAGCAGCCGCGGUAAUCUGAGCGGGCUGGCAAGGC
This 198-nucleotide ribosomal RNA is filed under the name uncultured bacterium. Its description in RNAcentral is "partial 16S ribosomal RNA". It matches the Rfam family "Bacterial small subunit ribosomal RNA", at positions 328 to 539 of the family's 1533-position model. The record is from RNAcentral.